UUGAAGACAAAAAAAGUAAGUCUGGUCCCAUUUCUCUAUCUUGAUGGGAAUUAAUUGUGCAUGUCUGAUUUUUAUGACUUCACAUGUUUGUACUUUGUAUGGACUUUCACAAGUGGAGAGCAUCUUACCUAAAGGCAAUUAAUGCAGAUCACUGUGUCCUUUGUCCAUUUGUCUCCAGGUUCUGAAUAUCUAAGUCACUGUGCUGCCAUCUUGGGACACCAUGCAUGAUAAUAGAAAUUCUAUGAAUACACAUUUAGAAGGGUCUAAUAGCAUUUCCUGAGUUUUUCCCCAGGGCCCACCUCUUUUAUAUCAUAUCUGAUUGGUUGAAGAAUCAGGACAGAUCCCAGAAGAGAGAUUUCUGGGAGACCUAUAAUCCAAGAUGUGACUAAACCCUAAACGAACAACAGACUUUGCUUCUCAGCCACUUGAAGUUAGGCUCUCAGCACAGGAAUUAAGUGCUUUCCCAUGGAGCAAGGAUGUUCAGUUUGGCUGACCUCGAGGACAAGCAGAGCCACAAAUGGUCAACUACUCCUUGAGACCACCGUAUUCUUUGGAGCACUGAAAUCAAGAAACCCAGUAUGGCUGCCAGCAACCAAAUUGGAAUCUCCUUUGAGACUACUUCUAAUUGCCAAAAUAAUAAGCGACUAUAUAAUUGCAUAAAAUAAAACUUUAAUAGGUACCGGCCCCCUU
Non-coding RNA from Odocoileus virginianus texanus, 690 nucleotides. NCBI's taxonomy places the organism in Eukaryota, Metazoa, Chordata, Mammalia, Artiodactyla, Cervidae. The record is from RefSeq and is a predicted model, not a curated record.